This 253-nucleotide ribosomal RNA is filed under the name uncultured bacterium. RNAcentral's name for it is "partial 16S ribosomal RNA". It matches the Rfam family "Bacterial small subunit ribosomal RNA", at positions 524 to 776 of the family's 1533-position model. The record is from RNAcentral.
GACAGAGGUGCCGAGCGUUAGGCGGAAUCACUGGGCUUAAAGCGUGUGUAGGCGGACCGUUAAGUACCUUGUGAAAUCCCACGGCUCAACCGUGGAACGGCUGGGUAUACUGGCGGUCUUGGGCCACUCAGGGGCGAGCGGAACAAGUGGUGGAGCGGUGAAAUGCGUAGAUAUCACUUGGAACGCCGACGGUGAAAACAGCUCGCUGGGAGUGUGCCGACGCUGAGACACGAAAGCCAGGGGAGCGAACGGG